GCGCCACCCCAUUUGGAUGCCCGACUUUCCUCUCAUGCAAAUCAGAUUUGCGUGAGAGUUUUCUCCACACCCCAAGUGUUUCUCACCCUCUUCUCAACACUUAAAUGAAUGUGGAUAAGAUCUGGUUGGAUUCAAAUUGGAUUUGAAUUCAAACUUAAUCUUGGUUAAAGUUCAAAUUUGAUUUGAACUCAUCCACUCUCCCUUGCGCCAAUAAUUUUUCCACAAAGACUCUUCACACAAAAUCAGAUUUCUACAUGAAGUUUUUCCAUGCUCCAUAGCCUAUGCCGCCCUCUCUUUGGAUAGGAUCAAGUUGGUUUAAGUUUGAAUGAGAUUCGAACUU
RNAcentral lists this long non-coding RNA (340 nucleotides) under Elaeis guineensis (African oil palm). RNAcentral's name for it is "long non-coding RNA (EGUI_LNC021520)". The record is from RNAcentral. Lineage: Eukaryota; Viridiplantae; Streptophyta; Magnoliopsida; Arecales; Arecaceae.